This 21-nucleotide unclassified non-coding RNA is filed under the name Mus musculus (house mouse). RNAcentral describes it as "oocyte_clustered_small_RNA807". The record is from RNAcentral. Lineage: Eukaryota; Metazoa; Chordata; Mammalia; Rodentia; Muridae.
UUUCACUGACCAAGCAGGACA